GACGAACGCUGGCGGCGCGCCUAACACAUGCAAGUCGAACGAGCGAGAGAGAGCUUGCUUUCUCGAGCGAGUGGCGAACGGGUGAGUAACGCGUGAGGAACCUGCCUCAAAGAGGGGGACAACAGUUGGAAACGACUGCUAAUACCGCAUAAGCCCACGGGUCGGCAUCGACCAGAGGGAAAAGGAGCAAUCCGCUUUGAGAUGGCCUCGCGUCCGAUUAGCUAGUUGGUGAGGUAAUGGCCCACCAAGGCGACGAUCGGUAGCCGGACUGAGAGGUUGAACGGCCACAUUGGGACUGAGACACGGCCCAGACUCCUACGGGAGGCAGCAGUGGGGAAUAUUGCACAAUGGGGGAAACCCUGAUGCAGCGACGCCGCGUGGAGGAAGAAGGUCUUCGGAUUGUAAACUCCUGUUGUUGGGGAAGAUAAUGACGGUACCCAACAAGGAAGUGACGGCUAACUACGUGCCAGCAGCCGCGGUAAAACGUAGGUCACAAGCGUUGUCCGGAAUUACUGGGUGUAAAGGGAGCGCAGGCGGGAAGACAAGUUGGAAGUGAAAUCUAUGGGCUCAACCCAUAAACUGCUUUCAAAACUGUUUUUCUUGAGUAGUGCAGAGGUAGGCGGAAUUCCCGGUGUAGCGGUGGAAUGCGUAGAUAUCGGGAGGAACACCAGUGGCGAAGGCGGCCUACUGGGCACCAACUGACGCUGAGGCUCGAAAGUGUGGGUAGCAAACAGGAUUAGAUACCCUGGUAGUCCACACCGUAAACGAUGAUUACUAGGUGUUGGAGGAUUGACCCCUUCAGUGCCGCAGUUAACACAAUAAGUAAUCCACCUGGGGAGUACGACCGCAAGGUUGAAACUCAAAGGAAUUGACGGGGGCCCGCACAAGCAGUGGAGUAUGUGGUUUAAUUCGACGCAACGCGAAGAACCUUACCAAGUCUUGACAUCCCUUGACAGGCAUAGAAAUAUGUAAUCUCUUCGGAGCAAGGAGACAGGUGGUGCAUGGUUGUCGUCAGCUCGUGUCGUGAGAUGUUGGGUUAAGUCCCGCAACGAGCGCAACCCUUAUGGUCAGUUACUACGCAAGAGGACUCUGGCCAGACUGCCGUUGACAAAACGGAGGAAGGUGGGGAUGACGUCAAAUCAUCAUGCCCUUUAUGACUUGGGCUACACACGUACUACAAUGGCGUUAAACAAAGAGAAGCAAGACCGCGAGGUGGAGCAAAACUCAGAAACAACGUCCCAGUUCGGACUGCAGGCUGCAACUCGCCUGCACGAAGUCGGAAUUGCUAGUAAUCGUGGAUCAGCAUGCCACGGUGAAUACGUUCCCGGGCCU
RNAcentral lists this ribosomal RNA (1332 nucleotides) under uncultured bacterium. RNAcentral's name for it is "bacterial SSU rRNA". It matches the Rfam family "Bacterial small subunit ribosomal RNA", at positions 28 to 1381 of the family's 1533-position model. The record is from RNAcentral.